GACGAACGCUGGCGGCGUGCCUAAUACAUGCAAGUAGAACGCUGAAGGAGGAGCUUGCUUCUCUGGAUGAGUUGCGAACGGGUGAGUAACGCGUAGGUAACCUGCCUGGUAGCGGGGGAUAACUAUUGGAAACGAUAGCUAAUACCGCAUAAGAGUAGAUGUUGCAUGACAUUUACUUAAAAGGUGCAAUUGCAUCACUACCAGAUGGACCUGCGUUGUAUUAGCUAGUUGGUGGGGUAACGGCUCACCAAGGCGACGAUACAUAGCCGACCUGAGAGGGUGAUCGGCCACACUGGGACUGAGACACGGCCCAGACUCCUACGGGAGGCAGCAGUAGGGAAUCUUCGGCAAUGGACGGAAGUCUGACCGAGCAACGCCGCGUGAGUGAAGAAGGCUUUCGGAUCGUAAAGCUCUGUUGUAAGAGAAGAACGAGUGUGAGAGUGGAAAGUUCACACUGUGACG
RNAcentral lists this ribosomal RNA (462 nucleotides) under Streptococcus mitis. RNAcentral's name for it is "bacterial SSU rRNA". It matches the Rfam family "Bacterial small subunit ribosomal RNA", at positions 28 to 474 of the family's 1533-position model. Lineage: Bacteria; Bacillati; Bacillota; Bacilli; Lactobacillales; Streptococcaceae. The record is from RNAcentral.